Molecule: ribosomal RNA, 495 nt
Filed under: Canis latrans (coyote)
Lineage: Eukaryota; Metazoa; Chordata; Mammalia; Carnivora; Canidae
Description: partial 12S ribosomal RNA
Rfam family: Bacterial small subunit ribosomal RNA
Source: RNAcentral
AAUUUUACAACAAAAUAAUUCGCCAGAGGACUACUAGCAAUAGCUUAAAACUCAAAGGACUUGGCGGUGCUUUAUAUCCCUCUAGAGGAGCCUGUUCUAUAAUCGAUAAACCCCGAUAAACCUCACCACCCUUUGCUAAUUCAGUCUAUAUACCGCCAUCUUCAGCAAACCCUCAAAAGGUAGAGCAGUAAGCACAAUCAUUUUACAUAAAAAAGUUAGGUCAAGGUGUAACUUAUGAGGUGGGAAGAAAUGGGCUACAUUUUCUACUCCAAGAACAUUUCACGAAUGUUUUUAUGAAAUUAAAAACUGAAGGAGGAUUUAGUAGUAAAUUAAGAAUAGAGAGCUUAAUUGAAUAGGGCCAUGAAGCACGCACACACCGCCCGUCACCCUCCUCAAGUAAUAAGACACAACCAUAACCAUAUUAACUUAACUAAAACACAAGAGGAGACAAGUCGUCAACAAGGUAAGCAUACCGGAAGGUGUGCUUGGAUUAAU